This 490-nucleotide ribosomal RNA is filed under the name uncultured Bacillota bacterium. Its description in RNAcentral is "bacterial SSU rRNA". It matches the Rfam family "Bacterial small subunit ribosomal RNA", at positions 413 to 916 of the family's 1533-position model. The record is from RNAcentral. Lineage: Bacteria; Bacillati; Bacillota.
GGCCUUCGGGUUGUAAAACUCUGUCUUCAGGGAAGAAAAAAAUGACGGUACCUGAGGAGGAAGCCCCGGCUAACUACGUGCCAGCAGCCGCGGUAAUACGUAGGUGGCAAGCGUUGUCCGGAAUUACUGGGCGUAAAGAGCGCGUAGGCGGCCAUUUAAGUCAGGAGUGAAAACUGGGGGCUCAACCGCCAGCCUGCUCUUGAAACUGGAUCUCUUGAGGGUAUGAGAGGAAAGCGGAAUUCCCAGUGUAGCGGUGAAAUGCGUAGAUAUUGGGAGGAACACCAGUGGCGAAGGCGGCUUUCUGGCAUACAACUGACGCUGAGGCGCGAAAGCGUGGGGAGCAAACGGGAUUAGAUACCCCGGUAGUCCACGCCGUAAACGAUGGGUGCUAGGUGUAGGAGGUAUCGACCCCUUCUGUGCCGUAGUUAACACAAUAAGUACCCCGCCUGGGGAGUACGGCCGCAAGGUUGAAACUCAAAUGAAUUGACGG